GCUUAUUUCACUACCUGCGAAGGGUCGUCGUAGGUAUUUGAAAAGAUAUUCCAUAAUAAUAAAACUAUUGAAUUGUUAUAAAAGUAAUACGAAAAUGGUUUAUUAAACAAAUUAUUUAGAACGUAAAACUUUAAAGCAUUCUAUACGUAGCCGAGGUUGGUCGGCACAAUUUGGACAAUAAGUUGCUGUUUUCUUCAAAUUCUUUUGUGCCUUUGUUCGGUCCAUUCGACGUCUUUUAUUCGCAUAACAUGGUUUGCAUGCGCGUCUAAUGCUUCUUCCGGAAUCAUUUUUCCGAACGGCGAUAUUAUGCUGACUCCGUCGAAGACAAGGAUUUUUUGUAUUUUCAGACAACCCUAAUAAUUUUCCAACUAAUAAUUGUCUAAAUAUUCUAAUAUUUAUAUUCUCCCUUGUUGCAAUUUUGUAAACCUUCAAAGCGUUAACAACAGAAAUUCCCAGAAGGAGUUGAACGCCAAG
Molecule: unclassified non-coding RNA, 474 nt
Filed under: Bombus terrestris (buff-tailed bumblebee)
Lineage: Eukaryota; Metazoa; Arthropoda; Insecta; Hymenoptera; Apidae
Description: misc RNA ENSBTSG00005028122.1
Source: RNAcentral